CUUCUUCUUCUUCUUCUUCUUCUUCUUCUUCUUGAAAAGAGAUGUGAAGAAGAAGAAGAAGAAGAAGAAGAAGAAGAAGAAG
Podarcis lilfordi (Lilford's wall lizard) is the source of this 82-nucleotide non-coding RNA. NCBI's taxonomy places the organism in Eukaryota, Metazoa, Chordata, Lepidosauria, Squamata, Lacertidae. The record is from the annotation of a GenBank genome assembly.